RNAcentral lists this transfer RNA (70 nucleotides) under Dipodomys ordii (Ord's kangaroo rat). It matches the Rfam family "tRNA". From Rfam's summary of the family: Transfer RNA (tRNA) molecules are approximately 80 nucleotides in length. Their secondary structure includes four short double-helical elements and three loops (D, anti-codon, and T loops). The record is from Rfam by way of RNAcentral. Lineage: Eukaryota; Metazoa; Chordata; Mammalia; Rodentia; Heteromyidae.
GGGGAUGUGGCUUAGUGGUAGAGUGCUUGCUUUGUAUGCAUGAAGCCCUGGGUUUGAUUCCUCAGUACCA